Molecule: unclassified non-coding RNA, 322 nt
Filed under: Hevea brasiliensis (rubber tree)
Lineage: Eukaryota; Viridiplantae; Streptophyta; Magnoliopsida; Malpighiales; Euphorbiaceae
Source: RNAcentral
UUUUGCUCCAAUAGCCAAUGCAAUGGGAGGACCAAAGAUAAAACCUCUUGCUUCAAUACCUGCAACCACACUGAUGUUUUUGUCCUUAUAUCUCUCAACGAACAAAUCAAUAGUGUCCUUAAACGCCUUUGGAUCAAGUAGCAAAGUCGUUAUAUCCUGAAACAUGAUCCCUGGUUUAGGAAAGUCGGGUAUGACCCGAAUAGCAGAAGCAAUUCCAGCGAUACGUUCAUCUUUAAGAUCAUGAGGCGCCAUAACUUCUGAGCUUACUAGAUCUCCGAUCGGGAUCGUUUUCAGCUCCGGUUCUUCACCUGCUCCGGCUCCG